CCUACGGGAGGCAGCAGUGGGGAAUAUUGGACAAUGGGGGGAACCCUGAUCCAGCGACGCCGCGUGAGUGAAGAAGUAUUUCGGUAUGUAAAGCUCUAUCAGCAGGGAAGAAAGAAAUGACGGUACCUGACUAAGAAGCCCCGGCUAACUACGUGCCAGCAGCCGCGGUAAUACGUAGGGGGCAAGCGUUAUCCGGAUUUAAUGGGUGUAAAGGGAGCGUAGACGGCGAUGCAAGUCUGAAGUGAAAGGCGGGGGGCCAACCCCCGGACUGCUUUGGAAACUGUAUGGCUGGAGUGCAGGAGAGGUAAGUGGAAUUCCUAGUGUAGCGGUGAAAUGCGUAGAUAUUAGGAGGAACACCAGUGGCGAAGGCGGCUUACUGGACUGUAACUGACGUUGAGGCUCGAAAGCGUGGGGAGCAAACAGGAUUAGAUACCCCAGUAGUC
This 443-nucleotide ribosomal RNA is filed under the name uncultured bacterium. RNAcentral's name for it is "partial 16S ribosomal RNA". It matches the Rfam family "Bacterial small subunit ribosomal RNA", at positions 338 to 795 of the family's 1533-position model. The record is from RNAcentral.